Long non-coding RNA from Oncorhynchus keta (chum salmon), 2547 nucleotides. RefSeq lists it as uncharacterized. The record is from RefSeq and is a predicted model, not a curated record. The transcript has 10 exons. NCBI's taxonomy places the organism in Eukaryota, Metazoa, Chordata, Actinopteri, Salmoniformes, Salmonidae.
CACUCCUGGGGAGAGUGAAAGACAACCAUACUGUACAACAACCUGACAGAAGGUUAUGGACACAACACUCCUGGGGAGAGUGAAAGACAACCAUACUGUACAACAACCUGACAGAAGGUUAUGGACACAACACUCCUGGGGAGAGUGAAAGACAACCAUACUGUACAACAACCUGACAGAAGGUUAUGGACAUAACACUCCUGGGGAGAGUGAAAGACAACCAUACUGUACAACAACCUGACAGAAGGUUAUGGACAUAACACUCCUGGGGAGAGUGAAAGACAACCAUACUGUACAACAACCUGACAGAAGGUUAUGGACAUAACACUCCUGGGGAGAGUGAAAGACAACCAUACUGUACAACAACCUGACAGAAGGUUAAGGACAUAACACUCCUGGGGAGAGUGAAAGACAACCAUACUGUACAACAACCUGACAGAAGGUUAUGGACAUAACACUCCUGGGGAGAGUGAAAGACAACCAUACUGUACAACAACCUGACAGAAGGUUAAGGACAUAACACUCCUGGGGAGAGUGAAAGACAACCAUACUGUACAACAACCUGACAGAAGGUUAUGGACAUAACACUCCUGGGGAGAGUGAAAGACAACCAUACUGUACAACAACCUGACAGAAGGUUAUGGACAUAACACUCCUGGGGAGAGUGAAAGACAACCAUACUGUACAACAACCUGACAGAAGGUUAUGGACACAACACUCCUGGGGAGAGUGAAAGACAACCAUACUGUACAACAACCUGACAGAAGGUUAUGGACACAACACUCCUGGGGAGAGUGAAAGACAACCAUACUGUACAACAACCUGACAGAAGGUUAUGGACAUAACACUCCUGGGGAGAGUGAAAGACAACCAUACUGUACAACAACCUGACAGAAGGUUAAGGACAUAACACUCCUGGGGAGAGUGAAAGACAACCAUACUGUACAACAACCUGACAGAAGGUUAUGGACAUAACACUCCUGGGGAGAGUGAAAGACAACCAUACUGUACAACAACCUGACAGAAGGUUAUGGACAUAACACUCCUGGGGAGAGUGAAAGACAACCAUACUGUACAACAACCUGACAGAAGGUUAUGGACAUAACACUCCUGGGGAGAGUGAAAGACAACCAUACUGUACAACAACCUGACAGAAGGUUAUGGACAUAACACUCCUGGGGAGAGUGAAAGACAACCAUACUGUACAACAACCUGACAGAAGGUUAUGGACAUAACACUCCUGGGGAGAGUGAAAGACAACCAUACUGUACAACAACCUGACAGAAGGUUAUGGACAUAACACUCCUGGGGAGAGUGAAAGACAACCAUACUGUACAACAACCUGACAGAAGGUUAAGGACAUAACACUCCUGGGGAGAGUGAAAGACAACCAUACUGUACAACAACCUGACAGAAGGUUAUGGACAUAACACUCCUGGGGAGAGUGAAAGACAACCAUACUGUACAACAACCUGACAGAAGGUUAAGGACAUAACACUCCUGGGGAGAGUGAAAGACAACCAUACUGUACAACAACCUGACAGAAGGUUAUGGACAUAACACUCCUGGGGAGAGUGAAAGACAACCAUACUGUACAACAACCUGACAGAAGGUUAUGGACAUAACACUCCUGGGGAGAGUGAAAGACAACCAUACUGUACAACAACCUGACAGAAGGUUAUGGACAUAACACUCCUGGGGAGAGUGAAAGACAACCAUACUGUACAACAACCUGACAGAAGGUUAUGGACAUAACACUCCUGGGGAGAGUGAAAGACAACCAUACUGUACAACAACCUGACAGAAGGUUAUGGACAUAACACUCCUGGGGAGAGUGAAAGACAACCAUACUGUACAACAACCUGACAGAAGGUUAAGGACAUAACACUCCUGGGGAGAGUGAAAGACAACCAUACUGUACAACAACCUGACAGAAGGUUAUGGACACAACACUCCUGGGGAGAGUGAAAGACAACCAUACUGUACAACAACCUGACAGAAGGUUAUGGACAUAACACUCCUGGGGAGAGUGAAAGACAACCAUACUGUACAACAACCUGACAGAAGGUUAAGGACAUAACACUCCUGGGGAGAGUGAAAGACAACCAUACUGUACAACAACCUGACAGAAGGUUAUGGACACAACACUCCUGGGGAGAGUGAAAGACAACCAUACUGUACAACAACCUGACAGAAGGUUAUGGACAUAACACUCCUGGGGAGAGUGAAAGACAACCAUACUGUACAACAACCUGACAGAAGGUUAAGGACAUAACACUCCUGGGGAGAGUGAAAGACAACCAUACUGUACAACAACCUGACAGAAGGUUAUGGACACAACACUCCUGGAGAGAGUGAAAGACAACCAUACUGUACAACAACCUGACAGAAGGUUAUGGACACAACACUCCUGGAGAGAGUGAAAGACAACCAUACUGUACAACAACCUGACAGAAGGUUAAGGACAUAACACUCCUGGGGAGAGUGAAAGACAACCAUACUGUACAACAACCUGACAAUAAAAAACGAAACAUGAGGCUACCUACC